GGUAACGCUGGCGGCGUGCUUACACCUGCAAGGUUAAACGAACCUUCGGGUUAGUGCCGGACGGGUGAGUAACGCGUGAGAAUCUGCCUCAGGAGGGGGACAACAGCUGGAAACGGCUGCUAAUACCCCAUAUGCCGCGAGGUGAAAUGAAUUUCGCCUGAGGAUGAGCUCGCGUCUGAUUAGCUAGUUGGUGUAACGUAAUGGCUCACCAAGGCAUCGAUCAGUAGCUGGUCUGAGAGGAUGAUCAGCCACACUGGGACUGAGACACGGCCAGACUCCUACGGGAGGCAGCAGUGGGGAAUUUUCCGCAAUGGGCGAAAGCCUGACGGAGCAACGCCGCGUGAGGGAUGAAGGCCUCUGGGCUGUAAACCUCUUUUAUCAAGGAAGAAGAUCUGACGGUACUUGAUGAAUAAGCCACGGCUAAUUCCGUGCCAGCAGCCGACAGGAUAAUACGGGAGUGGCAAGCGUUAUCCAGGAAUUAUUGGGCGUAAAGCAGUCCGCAGGCGGCCUUCAAGUCUGCAUGUUAAAAAGUGGAGCUUAACUCCAUCAUGGACAGUGGAA
RNAcentral lists this ribosomal RNA (561 nucleotides) under uncultured cyanobacterium. RNAcentral's name for it is "bacterial SSU rRNA". It matches the Rfam family "Bacterial small subunit ribosomal RNA", at positions 28 to 632 of the family's 1533-position model. The record is from RNAcentral. Lineage: Bacteria; Bacillati; Cyanobacteriota.